Molecule: ribosomal RNA, 3629 nt
Filed under: Triticum aestivum (bread wheat)
Lineage: Eukaryota; Viridiplantae; Streptophyta; Magnoliopsida; Poales; Poaceae
Description: partial small subunit ribosomal RNA
Source: RNAcentral
CAUUCUAAUUGGGGGUUAGGUGUAAGAGGAACAUGAGUUAGGUCUAGCCUUGGGAUUUUAGGUACCGAUGAAUCAUGUGUAGUAGUUGAAUACCAGUUAGGAUACAGAUAAAUGGAGCUAAGGGGUAAGGGGAUCCUGCGCCUAGCUUACGCUUUAUCAUCCAAUCCUCCACUUUUAUGUCGAAUGGCGUUAACGGCUUCACGACGUUCACUACAACGAAUACGGUCACUUCAAGCCGGCCACCAACGGAACGACUAGAGGCUAAGCGAAUGGUGGCGCGACCAAACUCUCACCUUCUCACCUAUCUCUCGCCACUACUUUCCACUCCCAUUAAUAACGGCCGCGAAGUCGUUUGUUUGCUGAAGAACUUGCACCGAGGAACACACGUCGGCGGCGGCGGGUGCACAUAGGGCGCCCGAACAGAUACUUUUUUAACGGCUAAACCUACAAGGAUCGACAGAACCGAUCCUCGACACAAUUCAAAACACGCUACGUCCGGGUUGUCACUUGUGUUCGUUCGUUUGUUGGUUAAAAGAAAGGUGCGUCCGGACCAACCGGAGAUACGCCCGAUGGUUUGUGUGGACUGGAACCCCCUUUACUUCGGUAGGUCUAGUAAUGAAAGAAUAGCGCCUACACACGAGCAGCCAAAAACAAUUAACAAUACGAACGGGCAAACGGUUGGACUUGCAACAUCGUUGAGCACAACAACCAGGACGUGAGACACAGCGGACAACAACCAGGGAGACAACAAGACAGGUUAGAUCGAUAGAAGUUAAAAAUCUUAAAUCAAGAGAGCGUCACAAGUUUUUGUAGCUAACCCGGGACAACUACUGGACGCUGACGUUCUCGUACUAUCAAGGUUCUCUUCGUAAUAAUUAUAUCACUAUGUUACCGCUGCUUAGGUUCGGCAACCAAUAGACUUGGGCCUCCACAGUAAAAAAAAGUCUCAAGGGAACAAGGCAGGCAGUUACAAGAACAAAAGUCUCACGUGGACGAGGCUGCCUUCAACCGUCGAGGUGGCCUCUUCUUCUGCGGGCGUUGUCGGUCACUGGCGCAGUGGUGGCGGCAGAGGAAGGAGUGGGUGCUCCGAGCAAGAGGGAGGGAGUUGGCGUGACUUUGGUAUCGAUCAAGGUGGAUAGAAACAAAAGAAAAACAAAACUACUUAGCGAAGAACCGGUGAAGCAGAGACUAGAGUAUUGGGUGCCAGCAAAGACACUUAAAAAAUCACCUAUGACAACAUCCUUCAUUGUGAGACCAAUGGGUGGACUCCGGUCUUGAUGUCAUCUAGAUCACCUAACUAGGUUCGUCCGUUCGUAAAGCUGAGUUGAUCGAUGGACUAGUGUGUUAAUUGGACAUAAGACAAAACUAAUCACUCGUUUAAACUCAGGGGACUUUACCUUAUUUCUUCUUGUUUAAACUGGUCUCCUUUCAACGUAAAGCUUUGGAGACUUGUUGUAAAGUUACGUAUUUUUUCAACAUAGACAGUCUCCCGAUGUCGACGUGUGUGAACAGCCAAAAUAAAUCUCAUACGACGAUCGGCUUUCCACCGUGAUAUGUAGAAAGAGUACAAGACUACUUACAUGACUAAAGUGUGUGUUUUAGAAGUUCAAAUUGUGAAAUUGACCUCCCUUGGAGACAUUCGUUCAAAAAAGCGCAAGACCCAAGAUUAUCUAACAAGACUUAGACCUGUACUGUACGGGUGGCUUUAUUAUAGUACGAGGAACAUACCGCUAGAGUAGAUGGUGACGCUGCCUAUAGCAGUGUGGUAGCUACACAAGUACCCGUGGUCUAGCACCCUAAGUUACUCGUCGAGGAAGAGAGCCUACCGAAACCCUCGUAUAUUCUAGACGUCGACCGGGGAGCCGAACCAGCCCUCCUCUAAAAAUUGUGGACGCUAGGUCCUGUCCUCACUCGUGGUCCUACUCCUUCCUACCGACCUUUCUACCUCCGACCACUAAACACCACUGUACGAAGAGUACGUGUUACGAAACCGAGAUGACGGAGUUGUAGAGGGUGUUCACUGCGGCCUCGAGGAGCCGCGACGCCGGUUGGAGGCCUACCGGUAACUCCAUGGCCGCCGUGCGGCCGUGCUACAAGAGGCUGUGCCGGUAGGCCUCCAGCCGGGACUCGUGGGUACCGGGGACGACCGCGGGGAUAGAGGCGUUGACUCUCGCAAGUCCCGAGGCCCGAAGUGCAGUUCCGCGCUGUGGUGCCCGUGGGUACUUUGAGCGUCCUGAAGAAGGAAGGGAAGAUUCGUUGUCUAGGGGUAGAAGGAGGAAGGAGGGAAGCGAUGGGUCUAGGUGGCGCUCGUCCCGUGCAAUGUAGACCAUAGUCUCCAGGUCGGGUAGCUAGACCUCUGGCGUAUGGGGUUCGGGGCGAUGGUGUGGUUUGUUCGUGAGUUCUGCCUCCGCUACCUCCUCGUUGAGCGGCGCGAGUAGUUCAACCAGUUGCUGCCGUCUCACCGGUCGCUCCGGCCUAAGCUGCGCUAGGUCUGCAGCAACCUUGAGACCUCCGGCCGCCACAGGGUAGAGGUCGUCGUUCACCUACUCGACGCAUGGGUUCACCCCGCGUAGCGGGAAGUGGGCUGGGAUCGCCGCGGAAGCCUAGGCUAGGGCCUCCCGUUGCGCCACCACGCUAGCCGCCGCUGCCGUCGAUGCUCUCGCAGGGGCUGGUGGUGCCCGGUGCUCCAGCACCGCUCUAGCUGCUGUGGCCCCCAGUCUGUAUACCGCACCAGUGGUGGGUACACGACGGAGGCCAGUUCCAUAAAAAGUCAGAUACCACAAGUGAGUCUAGAUACCCACGCACACCGAUGGGAAGUGAAGUGGCCGUUGCGCAGUGCAACCAACGUUAACGUACUCAGUGUCUCACUUAGUUACAGCACCCUCCUUAACAUACGCCGUGAUACGCCGUUUAAACGGGCCCUCGUCAUAGUUCGAGUGAACUUAGUCAAGGCGCGUGACGCAGUCUGUCCGUGACACGUGUUAAUGUACGACGUUAAGCUCCUUGAGUACGUGGUCAAUGAACGUGUAUUAGGAAGUAAACUAGGACACAAGAAGUGAUGGGUUAAAAACCUUCCUAACUCUGUACUUUAAGCCCGAUCACAUCAAGAAGUGGUUGGUUUCCUGAACCUGAGACGAAAAAGGAACCGAAGCUACGUCCUCCUCGAUGACCUCCGCAACGGCUCCGCCCUCAUGGCAGCCGUCCUCCCCGGUCACGUCGCACCUCCGCGAGCCGGCGACUAUCGCGAGUCUCGUGGUGGUCGAGCGGAACGUCACGGCCCUCGCGGCCAACGCCGACUUCUGUCUGCGCCGCAGCUGCGCCGGUUAGGUGGUCUGGCAGGCGCCCGUCUAAGACCGUCAAGAGUAUCAAAACACUCACUUCGUCACCGGCGACGUUACGGAGCAGCCCACGUCUUCUGGUUAACAAGCAGACAAUUCUAACGACUACCUCCUUAAGAAGUUACACUGUCAUACUAGGGAGCCACGAGUACCUGUUGCGUUCCCGUUCACAAACUUUGACUGGAGGCCCACGAUAGCAACCCGACAAUACUACAACAACGCCCGUACCUGACCGAUGUCGCGACACCUGGAUACACCUAGCUGACCCUCGUCUUCGCCAACGUCAAAAUC